RNAcentral lists this ribosomal RNA (354 nucleotides) under uncultured Streptococcus sp. RNAcentral's name for it is "bacterial SSU rRNA". It matches the Rfam family "Bacterial small subunit ribosomal RNA", at positions 1026 to 1382 of the family's 1533-position model. The record is from RNAcentral. Lineage: Bacteria; Bacillati; Bacillota; Bacilli; Lactobacillales; Streptococcaceae.
CAUCGGUGACAGGUGGUGCAUGGUUGUCGUCAGCUCGUGUCGUGAGAUGUUGGUUAAGUCCCGCAACGAGCGCAACCCCUAUUGUUAGUUGCCAUCAUUCAGUUGGGCACUCUAGCGAGACUGCCGGUAAUAAACCGGAGGAAGGUGGGGAUGACGUCAAAUCAUCAUGCCCCUUAUGACCUGGGCUACACACGUGCUACAAUGGUUGGUACAACGAGUUGCGAGUCGGUGACGGCGAGCUAAUCUCUUAAAGCCAAUCUCAGUUCGGAUUGUAGACUGCAACUCGCCUACAUGAAGUCGGAAUCGCUAGUAAUCGCGGAUCAGCACGCCGCGGUGAAUACGUUCCCGGGCCUU